Long non-coding RNA from Physella acuta, 808 nucleotides. RefSeq lists it as uncharacterized. Lineage: Eukaryota; Metazoa; Mollusca; Gastropoda; Physidae. The record is from RefSeq and is a predicted model, not a curated record.
UAUAUGUCAAUAAAGUUUAAGUCUUUAUCUGUCGUAAUCUGGUAUUUUUAUAUCUGUAACACAUGUCUGAAUGUGUUUUAUAUUUGUUUGAAAAGUAUCAGUUACGUCAACAAAUUUCACCGUUUUGCGUGUACCGAUCGACCCCACACUGUUUUAUUUGGUCGCGGCUUCGCGACGAAGCAUCGUAGAAGCAUAAUCUUAAUGUCAUUUUAAAGAUCGAAUUCUAGGCUAUCGUUUGAUGUAUAAAUUGAAAAAAUAACUUGUUUAUUUCAUUUAAAAAAUACAGAUUUUAAACUUUAAAUGACGAUAUAUACACGGAAACAAACUAAUUCUGUUUCAAUUUUUACACCGAUGUAAAGUUCAGUUUUAUAACUACUUUGUGUUGUAAAUUCAAGUAUUUCUGAUUUACGGUCGCGAAGCCGUACCCCCAAUAAACAUAUAACCCUCGAGUCGACUUUCAGCCCCAAGUAAGUUGCUCGCCGAACGGUUUUAAAGGUUGACGACCGAUGAUGCUAAACGGAUUUUACCCUUGCUAGAGCCUUCAAACAAGUUCUGGAGACAUUUACAGUGGCCUAUCCAGAACUUUCCUUACAAGGGAAGGGAAGAAGGCCAAGACCCCACUCCCCCCUACAAUUCCCAAAACAUAUUACUUACUCUUGAUGCUCCACAAGAUCAAGGUUGAGGGAAACAAGACGUACAAAGAUGUGGAGUUGUAGUUUUAAAAACUGUUCCCCCAAAGCAGUUAUCAACCGUAUAGGUUUGAAAAGAAACCAAAGCAUGUGGCAUCAACUGCUGCAUCACUUGUAGG